CUGAGAGUUUGAUUCUGGCUCAGAACGAACGCUGGCGGCGCGCUUAACACAUGCAAGUCGAACGGGUCUUUAUUGAGUAGCAAUACUUAAUGAAGAUUAGUGGCGAACGGGUGAGUAACACGUAGGUAACCAACCCUUAGGACAGGGAUACUCCCGAGAAAUCGGGCACAAUACCUGAUAAAAUCCCGGAGUGAAAAUCUUUGGGAUUAAAGCCUUACGGCACCUAAGGCUGGGCCUGCGGUCCUAUCAGCUAGUUGGUGAGGUAACGGCCCACCAAGGCAAAGACGGGUAGCCGGACUGAGAGGUUGAUCGGCCACACUGGAACUGAGACACGGUCCAGACUCCUACGGGAGGCAGCAGUGAGGAAUUUUGCGCAAUGGGCGAAAGCCUGACGCAGCGACGCCGCGUGGGGGAAGAAGGCC
Molecule: ribosomal RNA, 422 nt
Filed under: Nitrospirota bacterium
Lineage: Bacteria; Pseudomonadati; Nitrospirota
Description: bacterial SSU rRNA
Rfam family: Bacterial small subunit ribosomal RNA
Source: RNAcentral